RNAcentral lists this ribosomal RNA (427 nucleotides) under uncultured bacterium. RNAcentral describes it as "bacterial SSU rRNA". It matches the Rfam family "Bacterial small subunit ribosomal RNA", at positions 335 to 755 of the family's 1533-position model. The record is from RNAcentral.
ACUCCUACGGGAGGCAGCAGUGGGGAAUAUUGCACAAUGGGCGCAAGCCUGAUGCAGCCAUGCCGCGUGUAUGAAGAAGGCCCUUCGGUUGUAAAGUACUUUCAGCAGUGAGGAAGGUGGAUAUGUUAAUAGCAUAUUCAUUUGACGUUAGCUGCAGAAGAAGCACCGGCUAACUCCGUGCCAGCAGCCGCGGUAAUACGGAGGGUGCGAGCGUUAAUCGGAAUUACUGGGCGUAAAGCGCAUGCAGGUGGUUUGUUAAGUCAGAUGUGAAAGCCCGGGGCUCAACCUCGGAAUUGCAUUUGAAACUGGCAAACUAGAGUACUGUAGAGGGGGUAGAAUUUCAGGUGUAGCGGUGAAAUGCGUAGAGAUCUGAAGGAACUACGGUAGCGAAGGCGGCCCCCUGGACAGAUACUGACACUCAGAUGCG